Molecule: long non-coding RNA, 564 nt
Organism: Drosophila erecta
Lineage: Eukaryota; Metazoa; Arthropoda; Insecta; Diptera; Drosophilidae
Exons: 2
Source: RefSeq, a predicted model, not a curated record
CCCAGAUCGCUGGCUUAUUUAUGAUCAUAGUCGGCGGGGAAUGCGCUGCCGUUUUUCAGCUCAUUUAUUCAUAUUUACAUUUAACAUGCGUUUUUCUCUAACGAAGUCGGCGUAAAUCGAUAUUCAAUAAACGACAUCUGUGAGCAUUUUUUCUUCUAUCCGACGGCCUGUGUUUUUGUGCUGCUCCAAGUCGACCCUUACCCUGCCCUGCUCGAUAAUGAUCUCUUUGUUGGAUUGGCAGCAGGAGGAUUGAGAGGCAGGCAGCUGGCGGUAAGCAAAAACCAACUCAUAACGAUCUAUUGGAGAGAUCUUGAGAGAUCUGGCCAACGAAAUUGGAAUUCCAAUAUCAAAUGUGGAGCAUUUCGGUUUUGGAAACUGUGUCGCUGCCAUAAAUCAGACAAGCCAUUGACACAUUUCCUAGAGCUUCGGGUUGUAUUUUUAACAGUUCCAACAUCUAUCAAAAAUAAUUAAUAGAAAACUUGUCGAAAUGUCAAUGGGCAUGACAAAUGUAAUUAAUUUGAAGCCGCAAGAAAAAUAGACAAAUUAUGAACUUUGCUGCUUUUA